GAAAGAGAAAAGGCAAAGAGAGAGUCAAGAGAUAAGAUAGAGAAGAGAGAGGCGGAAUCUGACUCGGUGCUCACCAUUUUUUUCUUUUGUUACUCGCUAGUUCCCUUUAUCACGAGGAUUUUCGAGGGCAGGCUCGUGAUAAAGCGACAUAUAUCGUUCGAUCAUGGGCCUCCGGUUGGCUCGCACUCGGCGGGGCUGGCGGGGGUACUAGGAAAACAAAGAGAGACGGGCUACUCGAGACUUGGGGGUGGCGAAAGGUGAAAUUGGGGUUUGCUAGAACGGUUAAAAGAAAAUUGGACGGGCCUGGCUCCUGUGUAAACACAGAUUUUUCGUCCUCGAACCGUGUUUGCUCGGUUCGUUCUCCGUUGUUGCAUCGAUGAUGCCAGAUACGGCUGGAAGAAAAGAAGAAAAAAGAAAAAAACGACCGUUCUUAGUCCAGUCGUUCACACGGACAGAGAGAAAACGUGAGACAACAACGAAAAGAAAGAAGACAAAAGAGAACAAAAGAAAAGGAAAUUGACUUGAAGGAGAGAGUAAGACAACAAUGAAGUAAGACAGAAGGGGACAGAGAAAACAGGUGAUACAGAGGAAGAAAGAACAAAAGAAAGGAAAAGAGCGAAGACCAGAAUAAGUACGGAUAGUUAAACGUGACAAAGAGAGAACAGUCGACUAGAUUAAAACACAGUUAAUUAUCAAUUAAUUAUAACGUCGUCGUCGUUGUCGUCGUCUUAGCAUCACCAUCACCAUCAUCACCAUUAUCACCAUGAUCGUUGUCGGUGCCGAUGGACGACGAGAGAAUCGUAAGGAAAGCGAGGAACUGAAGUUAAG
RNAcentral lists this unclassified non-coding RNA (828 nucleotides) under Bombus terrestris (buff-tailed bumblebee). Its description in RNAcentral is "misc RNA ENSBTSG00005030418.1". The record is from RNAcentral. Lineage: Eukaryota; Metazoa; Arthropoda; Insecta; Hymenoptera; Apidae.